CCUACGUGUGGCAGCAGUGAGGAAUCUUGGUCAAUGGACGCAAGUCUGACCCAGCCAUGCCGCGUGCAGGAAGACGGCUCUAUGAGUUGUAAACUGCUUUUGUACGAGGGUAAACGCAGAUACGCGUAUCUGUCUGACAGUAUCGUACGAAUAAGGAUCGGCUAACUCCGUGCCAGCAGCCGCGGUAAUCCGGAGGAUUCAAGCGUUAUCCGGAUUUAUUGGGUUUAAAGGGUGCGUAGGCGGUCGGAUAAGGUAGCGGUGAAAUCCCGAGGCGCAACUUCGGAAUUGCCUCUGAUACUGUUCGGCUAGAGAGUAGUAGAGGUAGGUGGAAUGGAUGGUGUAGCGGUGAAAUGCUUAGAGAUCAGACAGAACACCGAUUGCGAAGGCAGCUUACCAAGCUACUUCUGACGUUGAGGCACGAAAGCGUGGGGAGCAAACAGGAUUAGAUACCCCAGUAGUC
RNAcentral lists this ribosomal RNA (460 nucleotides) under uncultured bacterium. RNAcentral's name for it is "partial 16S ribosomal RNA". It matches the Rfam family "Bacterial small subunit ribosomal RNA", at positions 338 to 795 of the family's 1533-position model. The record is from RNAcentral.